UUGGGGUUGGUGUUUAAAAGAUCAGAGGUGUUAUGGGUUUUAAAGUUCGUGGAACAGUGGUGGUUAAGUGCUAAGGGAGUGUUGUGGUACAUGGGUGAGAGAAGGGGUUGUCGAAUAGUGGUUCAUGGUGGAGAAAAUGAGAGGUGAAUGGUGGUAGAGGAAAAAAGAGGUGAACAGAGGUGGAGGGGAAAAUGAGAGAUGAACGGCGGGGAGGAGAAAAGAGGAACGACGGUGGUGCUUGUGUACCAUCGACGUUACUGUAGGUGGGUGCAACUGUGACUGAUCUGUGUGGCAACUUCGUUCGGUGACGAUGUGAUAGUGUGAAUGGGGGUUAAGGUUUUCUUUUUUGUGUGUGUGGAGAAGAUGAAGAAUAAAGGGAAAGGGUAAAGGGGUUUGGGGGUUUUCUCUUUUUUUUUCUUGGUCGGUUGAGCCUUCUUUUGUUUUUCUUCCCUUUUUUUCUACCUGGGCCUGAUUGGCCGUUUGGCCCAAUUCUUCUCGCUUCCCCUUUUUUUCUUUUGGGUUUCAUUGGACUUAUUUGGGAUUUAGGUAUUUGGGUAUAUUUUUAGGUUUUGGGUAAAUGGUUUUUAUUUG
RNAcentral lists this long non-coding RNA (591 nucleotides) under Gossypium raimondii (Peruvian cotton). RNAcentral describes it as "long non-coding RNA (GRAI_LNC001476)". Lineage: Eukaryota; Viridiplantae; Streptophyta; Magnoliopsida; Malvales; Malvaceae. The record is from RNAcentral.